This 413-nucleotide ribosomal RNA is filed under the name uncultured Gemmata sp. RNAcentral's name for it is "bacterial SSU rRNA". It matches the Rfam family "Bacterial small subunit ribosomal RNA", at positions 355 to 774 of the family's 1533-position model. Lineage: Bacteria; Pseudomonadati; Planctomycetota; Planctomycetia; Gemmatales; Gemmataceae. The record is from RNAcentral.
UCGAGGAUCUUCGGCAAUGCGCGCAAGCGCGACCGAGCGACGCCGCGUGGGCGACGAAGGCCUUCGGGUUGUAAAGCCCUGUCGAGGGGGAGGAAACCGGGAAACCGGCUGACCCAUCCCUGGAGGAAGCUCGGGCUAAGUUCGUGCCAGCAGCCGCGGUAAGACGAACCGAGCGAACGUUGUUCGGAAUCACUGGGCUUAAAGGGCGCGUAGGCGGGCUGGACAGUCCGGGGUGAAAUCCCCCCGCUCAACGGGGGAACGGCCUCGGAUACUUUCGGCCUGGAGGGGGGUAGGGGCGGGCGGAACUGUGGGUGGAGCGGUGAAAUGCGUUGAGAUCCACAGGAACUCCGGUGGCGAAGGCGGCCCGCUGGACCCUUACUGACGCUGAGGCGCGAAAGCCAGGGGAGCGAACG